UACGUAGGGGGCAAGCGUUGUCCGGAAUCAUUGGGCGUAAAGAGCGUGUAGGCGGCCCGAUAAGUCCGCCGUGAAAGUCCAGGGCUCAACCCUGGAAUGCCGGUGGAAACUGUCGGGCUGGAGUCCGGAAGAGGCGAGUGGAAUUCCUGGUGUAGCGGUGAAAUGCGCAGAUAUCAGGAGGAACACCAAUGGCGAAGGCAGCUCGCUGGGACGGUACUGACGCUCAUGCACGAAAGCGUGGGGAGCAAACAGG
Molecule: ribosomal RNA, 253 nt
Filed under: uncultured bacterium
Lineage: Bacteria
Description: partial 16S ribosomal RNA
Rfam family: Bacterial small subunit ribosomal RNA
Source: RNAcentral